This is a non-coding RNA of Nicotiana tabacum (common tobacco), 441 nucleotides long. The record is from RefSeq and is a predicted model, not a curated record. Lineage: Eukaryota; Viridiplantae; Streptophyta; Magnoliopsida; Solanales; Solanaceae.
CCCUCCCCAUUCUCUCAUCUCUCUCAAACUUUAACCAGCUGCCCCUAAACCACCCCAACUCCCUGACCAGCGGCCACCACCAUAACUCCUCCAAAUCUACCCAAAUUCACACCCCGUACUACCUUGAAACCUUGAGCUGCAAGUUAAAUGUGAAGAUAUGAAUAUUUUUGGGAUUAAUACAACCAUGUCAUUUUUAGUAAAUAACUCUUAUGUUUUAUUAACUCAUGUAAUUCUUUCCUUGGUUAGCUAAUAUCAUGUGUUGUCUUUUACUAGUAGAUGAAGAUUUGUGUUUGGGACAUAAGAUUCAUGUAAUUAUGGCCUCUUUCUUCCUCUUCAUCUUCUCUGCAAUCUUGUUUAAUGUUUGAGGCGUGUACAACCAUUUCAUUCAGCCUUGUUUGAAUUGCAAUAUGAAAUGAAAUUAUUGAGUGUGUACCUGUAACA